CGGGGUAUAGUAUAACGGUAGUACGCUAACUUCGGGAGUUAGUGGCCUGGGUUCAACUCCCAGUACCCCGA
Molecule: transfer RNA, 71 nt
Filed under: Parcubacteria bacterium DG_72
Lineage: Bacteria; Candidatus Parcubacteria
Description: tRNA-Pro
Rfam family: tRNA
About the family: Transfer RNA (tRNA) molecules are approximately 80 nucleotides in length. Their secondary structure includes four short double-helical elements and three loops (D, anti-codon, and T loops). Further hydrogen bonds mediate the characteristic L-shaped molecular structure. tRNAs have two regions of fundamental functional importance: the anti-codon, which is responsible for specific mRNA codon recognition, and the 3' end, to which the tRNAs corresponding amino acid is attached (by aminoacyl-tRNA synthetases). tRNAs cope with the degeneracy of the genetic code in two manners: having more than one tRNA (with a specific anti-codon) for a particular amino acid; and 'wobble' base-pairing, i.e. permitting non-standard base-pairing at the 3rd anti-codon position.
Source: RNAcentral